RNAcentral lists this small nuclear RNA (21 nucleotides) under Arabidopsis thaliana (thale cress). Its description in RNAcentral is "snRNA_00303". The record is from RNAcentral. Lineage: Eukaryota; Viridiplantae; Streptophyta; Magnoliopsida; Brassicales; Brassicaceae.
CAAUGUCAGCAUAUCAAACCU